CAGCAGCCGCGGUAAUACGUAGGGUGCGAGCGUUAAUCAGAAUUACUGGGCGUAAAGCGUGCGCAGGCGGUUAUAUAAGACAGAUGUGAAAUCCCCGGGCUCAACCUGGGACCUGCAUUUGUGACUGUAUAGCUAGAGUACGGUAGAGGGGGAUGGAAUUCCGCGUGUAGCAGUGAAAUGCGUAGAUAUGCGGAGGAACACCGAUGGCGAAGGCAAUCCCCUGGACCUGUACUGACGCUCAUGCACGAAAGCGUGGGGAGCAAACAGGAUUAGAUACCCCCGUAGUCCCUGUCUCUUAUAC
Molecule: ribosomal RNA, 301 nt
Filed under: uncultured bacterium
Lineage: Bacteria
Description: partial 16S ribosomal RNA
Rfam family: Bacterial small subunit ribosomal RNA
Source: RNAcentral